UGGGGAAUCUUGCGCAAUGGGCGAAAGCCUGACGCAGCGACGCCGCGUGAGUGAUGAAGGCCUUAGGGUUGUAAAGCUCUGUGGAGAGGGACGAAUAAGGCGUGGUGAAUAGCCACGUCGAUGACGGUACCUCUUUAGCAAGCACCGGCUAACUCUGUGCCAGCAGCCGCGGUAAGACAGAGGGUGCAAACGUUGUUCGGAAUUACUGGGCGUAAAGCGCGUGUAGGCGGCCGAGUAAGUCGGGUGUGAAAGCCCAGGGCUCAACCCUGGAAGUGCACUCGAAACUGCACGGCUGGAGUCUCGGAGAGGGAAGCGGAAUUCUGGGUGUAGAGGUGAAAUUCGUAGAUAUCCAGAGGAACACCAGCGGCGAAGGCGGCUUCCUGGACGAGUACUGACGCUGAGACGCGAAAGCAUGGGGAGCAAACAGGAUUAGAUACCCGCGUAGUCC
This 448-nucleotide ribosomal RNA is filed under the name uncultured prokaryote. RNAcentral describes it as "bacterial SSU rRNA". It matches the Rfam family "Bacterial small subunit ribosomal RNA", at positions 355 to 796 of the family's 1533-position model. The record is from RNAcentral.